This 232-nucleotide ribosomal RNA is filed under the name uncultured bacterium. Its description in RNAcentral is "partial 16S ribosomal RNA". It matches the Rfam family "Bacterial small subunit ribosomal RNA", at positions 99 to 334 of the family's 1533-position model. The record is from RNAcentral.
CGGACGGGUGAGGAAUACAUCGGAAUCUGCCUUGUUGUGGGGGAUAACGUAGGGAAACUUACGCUAAUACCGCAUAAGACCUCAGGGUGAAAGCGGAGGACCUUCGGGCUUCGCGCGACAAGAUGAGCCGAUGUCGGAUUAGCUAGUUGGCGGGGUAAAGGCCCACCGAGGCGACGAUCGGUAGCUGGUCUGAGAGGACGACCAGCCACACUGGAACUGAGACACGGUCCAG